AGUGAACGCUGGCGGCAGGCCUAACACAUGCAAGUCGAACGGCAGCACAAGAGAGCUUGCUCUCUGGGUGGCGAGUGGCGGACGGGUGAGGAAUGCAUCGGAAUCUGCCCAUUUGUGGGGGAUAACCUCGGGAAACCGGGACUAAUACCGCAUACGACCUACGGGUGAAAGCAGGGGAUCUUCGGACCUUGCGCAGAUGGAUGAGCCGAUGCCGGAUUAGCUAGUUGGAGGGGUACAGGCCCACCAAGGCGACGAUCCGUAGCUGGUCUGAGAGGAUGAUCAGCCACACUGGGACUGAGACACGGCCCAGACUCCUACGGGAGGCAGCAGUGGGGAAUAUUGGACAAUGGGCGCAAGCCUGAUCCAGCCAUGCCGCGUGUGUGAAGAAGGCCUUCGGGUUGUAAAGCACUUUUGUUGGGAAAGAAAAGCAGCCGGUUAAUACCCGGUUGUCAUGACGGUACCCAAAGAAUAAGCACCGGCUAACUUCGUG
This 490-nucleotide ribosomal RNA is filed under the name uncultured bacterium. Its description in RNAcentral is "partial 16S ribosomal RNA". It matches the Rfam family "Bacterial small subunit ribosomal RNA", at positions 29 to 507 of the family's 1533-position model. The record is from RNAcentral.